This 253-nucleotide ribosomal RNA is filed under the name uncultured bacterium. Its description in RNAcentral is "partial 16S ribosomal RNA". It matches the Rfam family "Bacterial small subunit ribosomal RNA", at positions 524 to 776 of the family's 1533-position model. The record is from RNAcentral.
UACAGAGGGUGCAAGCGUUGUUCGGAAUUAUUGGGCGUAAAGCGCGUGUAGGCGGCUUUGCAAGUCGGGUGUGAAAGCCCUCAGCUUAACUGGGGAACUGCGUCUGAUACUGGAUGGCUUGGAUUCGGGAGAGGAAUGCGGAAUUCCAGGUGUAGCGGUGAAAUGCGUAGAUAUCUGGAGGAACACCGGUGGCGAAGGCGGCAUUCUGGACCGACAUUGACGCUGAGGAGCGAAAGCCAGGGGAGCAAACGGG